GCAAUUCUUCAUUUCAACUGUGUUUUUUAAAGCGUGCAGACUUAGCGUACCUGAAGCAAAAAUUUUCAAAGAGACCCCUUUCAAAAAUUUUGGAGGAAGUGAUUGUGAUUAGAAGUGAAUUGGGAUAGAGCCAAAAAAAAGUUGCAUUGAAGAAUUAUGCACUUUUCAAUAAAUUUCUUUACGAGGCCUUAAAAGAUGAUUACUCACACCCUGAUUUUGAGGAUCAUUGAAGAUCAAAAAGACGUUUCUCAA
Long non-coding RNA from Bactrocera neohumeralis, 252 nucleotides. RefSeq lists it as uncharacterized. The record is from RefSeq and is a predicted model, not a curated record. The transcript is spliced from 3 exons. NCBI's taxonomy places the organism in Eukaryota, Metazoa, Arthropoda, Insecta, Diptera, Tephritidae.